CUUUAGUUUGUGAAGGGUAGUGUUUGGCUAAAUGGUAUUCAUUUUAUAGCCUUUAUUUGCCCAAUGUUUGGUGACUUAAAUUGAGGCAUGUGUUUAUUUAAGAUGCAUGUGAGUGUAGUAGUGCUUCAGUGAUGGUCUUUUCAUGUUCUGUGUGUUUUGCAAUGUAUUAAUUAAUGUAAGCCUCUUUCUGUUCCCUCUGUUAGUAGGUGGUGUGAGGACUGCUGCCCUGAGAACGCUGUGUCAGAGACACUUAGGCUGUGUGCAUUUUGGAAUGUUCCAAAUGUGUGUCACUUCCAUAAGGAAGAAGUUCCAAGCCUGCAAUUUAUCCCCUCCUUUCAUGUGUCUGUUAUGACUUUGUGGGCUCAACUGUCAACAACUGUCCAGGGAGAAGUCGGUCUACCCUGAUGGCACUACCUGAUGGCACUACCCUGAUGAUGUCUGUUAGCCAUGGCUGCUGCCCUCAACAUGGUGAGCCAUCCAGAAGUCCCAGCCUGGAGCCAGAGGCUGCUAUUGCAAGUCAGAUGGGAGAUGGCCUACAGUAUGUUAGGCAUCAGAAAAGUGGUGUUCGCAUGAAGGCAGAGUUGCCGCAGGCAAUUAUGAGAUUAG
This is a long non-coding RNA of Sardina pilchardus (European sardine), 606 nucleotides long. RefSeq lists it as uncharacterized. The record is from RefSeq and is a predicted model, not a curated record. NCBI's taxonomy places the organism in Eukaryota, Metazoa, Chordata, Actinopteri, Clupeiformes, Clupeidae. The transcript has 3 exons.